This 1082-nucleotide long non-coding RNA is filed under the name Sorghum bicolor (sorghum). RNAcentral's name for it is "long non-coding RNA (SBIC_LNC001814)". The record is from RNAcentral. Lineage: Eukaryota; Viridiplantae; Streptophyta; Magnoliopsida; Poales; Poaceae.
CUGCCACAACGGGAGAAAAAUUAAGGGAACUCGAUGGGAUGAAAUCGUAGUACGUCUCAUCAACUGCCCCGGCCGGCCGUGCCAUGAUACCUUUUUACCAAAUCGAGGGGUAGUCGUGUUUAUAGUCGACCACACUAAUUCACGAACGUUCAUUUAGAAUGAAUCUAGCGAACGAUUUCCAACCAAUUAAACUAUCCUUUUUAGGAAAGCACUCAAUCUACUAUUUUUGGACGAAUCUAGAGACACGCAACCCCUAGGCUUCUUUCGGGCGGACGUUGCGUGCACUUUUUUUUUUCUUUUCGUAUGCAGCCACACGAGCGACGGUAGUUUUACUUUUGUUUUUUUAUAAAACCACAUGCAUAACUUAGAAAACUGAGUUACACAGUAUAACUUUUAAGAUUAACUUAGUAGUUCUAAGUUUUACAACAUUACCUUUUUCUUUUUGUGUAAAAUUUAUAUUAUUAAAACAAUUGCACCUUUUUCUUUACGUUUCAUCGGCUUUUUUCAAAAAAUAAUCAUCCAGAAACAUAGAAAAAAGGAUUUUGAAAAGGAUGGGGGAGUAAAAUAAAAAUAACUUUUACACCUUAUAUUACACAACAACUUCUAUAUAGAUAAUGUGAAGCUACAUAACAAGUUACAUAAUAGAUUUGCAUAACUUAUACAACUAUGGUAUUCAGCAUCUAUGUAUUUUUAAUUAGAAGAUAUGCAAAAUAUAUAAUGUGUAAAAUAAUAAAUUCAAAUAACAAAGUUGACUAGAGAAACACUUUAGUUAAUAGCAAAUACUAACAUGGUUAUCUAAUAUAAUGUGAUAACACAUGAAACUAAAUGAAGUAAGUUUAUCAAAUAAGUUAAGAUGGUAUACACAUGAAACACAAGUUAGAUAUAUAACUAUAUACAAUAAGUUAAUGAAAUAAGUUAGUUAGCAUUCUUUUAUGGAUGGAGGUAGUAAUUUAGAAUAGAGGGAGUAUAUAAGUUACACAAUACGACUUAUGUACAUAAGUUACCGAAAUAAUAUUUUAGUGUAUAUACAAAGUUGUGCUUUUAUAAAAGUUAUUCUACACAAACAUAAGUUAUACAGUGCA